Long non-coding RNA from Oncorhynchus tshawytscha (Chinook salmon), 398 nucleotides. Lineage: Eukaryota; Metazoa; Chordata; Actinopteri; Salmoniformes; Salmonidae. The record is from Ensembl.
GUAGAGAGAGAGAACAUGAAUAGUAGGGUGGUAGAGAGAGAGAGACAUGAAUAGUAUUGGGUGGUAGAGAGAGAGAACAUGAAUAGUAUUGGGUGGUAGAGAGAGAGAGAGAACAUGAAUAGUAUUGGGUGGUAGAGAGGGAGAGAACAUGAAUAGUAUUAUGGUGGAGAGAGAGAACAUGAAUAGUAUUGGGUGGUAGAGAGAGAACAUGAAUAGUAUUGGGUGGUAGAGAGAGAACAUGAAUAGUAUUGGGUGGUAGAGAGAGAACAUGAAUAGUAUUGGGUGGUAGAGAGAGAGAACAUGAAUAGUAUUGGGUGGUAGAGAGAGAGAGAACAUGAAUAGUAUUGGGUGGUAGAGAGAGAGAGAGAACAUGAAUAGUAUUGGGUGGUAGAGAGAGA